RNAcentral lists this ribosomal RNA (216 nucleotides) under Glomeromycotina sp. RNAcentral's name for it is "partial small subunit ribosomal RNA". The stretch from base 87 to 216 matches the Rfam family "Eukaryotic small subunit ribosomal RNA", at positions 733 to 864 of the family's 1831-position model. The record is from RNAcentral. Lineage: Eukaryota; Fungi; Glomeromycota.
GGGUCAGUAGGUUGGUCGUGCCACCGGUACGUACUGGUCUCACUGAUUCCUCCUUCCUGAAGAACCGUAAUGCCAUUAAUUCGGUGUUGCGGGGAAACAGGACUGUUACUUUGAAAAAUUUAGAGUGUUUAAAGCAAGCUAACGCUUGAAUACAUUAGCAUGGAAUAAUGAAAUAGGACGAUCGAUCCUAUUUUGUUGGUUUCUAGGAUUGACGUA